This 73-nucleotide transfer RNA is filed under the name Pediculus humanus corporis (human body louse). RNAcentral describes it as "tRNA tRNA-Val". It matches the Rfam family "tRNA". From Rfam's summary of the family: Transfer RNA (tRNA) molecules are approximately 80 nucleotides in length. Their secondary structure includes four short double-helical elements and three loops (D, anti-codon, and T loops). Lineage: Eukaryota; Metazoa; Arthropoda; Insecta; Psocodea; Pediculidae. The record is from Rfam by way of RNAcentral. RNAcentral also lists the same sequence under 2 other names.
GUUUCCGUAGUGUAGUGGUUAUCACGUGCGCCUCACACGCGCAAGGUCCCCGGUUCGAUCCCGGGCGGGAACA